This 251-nucleotide ribosomal RNA is filed under the name uncultured Lactobacillus sp. RNAcentral's name for it is "partial 16S ribosomal RNA". It matches the Rfam family "Bacterial small subunit ribosomal RNA", at positions 113 to 355 of the family's 1533-position model. The record is from RNAcentral. Lineage: Bacteria; Bacillati; Bacillota; Bacilli; Lactobacillales; Lactobacillaceae.
CAACGUGGGGUAACCUGCCCAAGAGAUCGGGAUAACACCUGGAAACAGAUGCUAAUACCGGAUAACAACAGAUGAUGCCUAUCAACUGUUUAAAAGAUGGUUCUGCUAUCACUCUUGGAUGGACCUGCGGUGCAUUAGCUAGUUGGUAGGGUAACGGCCUACCAAGGCGAUGAUGCAUAGCCGAGUUGAGAGACUUAUCGGCCACAUUUGGGACUGAGACACGGCCCAAACUCCUACGGGAGGCAGCAGCC